AACGAACGCUGGCGGCAUGCCUAACACAUGCAAGUCGAACGAGACCUUCGGGUCUAGUGGCGCACGGGUGCGUAACGCGUGGGAACCUGCCCUUAGGUUCGGAAUAACUCCCCGAAAGGGGUGCUAAUACCGGAUAAUGUCUUCGGACCAAAGAUUUAUCGCCUUUGGAUGGGCCCGCGUUGGAUUAGCUAGUUGGUAGGGUAAAAGCCUACCAAGGCGACGAUCCAUAGCUGGUCUGAGAGGAUGAUCAGCCACACUGGGACUGGGACACGGCCCAGACUCCUACGGGAGGCAGCAGUGGGGAAUAUUGGACAAUGGGCGAAAGCCUGAUCCAGCAAUGCCGCGUGAGUGAUGAAGGCCGUAGGGUUGUAAAGCUCUUUUACCCGGGAUGAUAAUGACGGUACCGGGAGAAUAAGCUCCGGCUAACUCCGUG
Molecule: ribosomal RNA, 433 nt
Filed under: uncultured bacterium
Lineage: Bacteria
Description: partial 16S ribosomal RNA
Rfam family: Bacterial small subunit ribosomal RNA
Source: RNAcentral